RNAcentral lists this ribosomal RNA (548 nucleotides) under uncultured bacterium. Its description in RNAcentral is "partial 16S ribosomal RNA". It matches the Rfam family "Bacterial small subunit ribosomal RNA", at positions 355 to 891 of the family's 1533-position model. The record is from RNAcentral.
UGGGGAAUUUUGGACAAUGGGCGCAAGCCUGAUCCAGCCAUGCCGCGUGCGGGAAGAAGGCCUUCGGGUUGUAAACCGCUUUUGUCAGGGAAGGAAAUACUUCUGAGUUAAUACCUCGGGAGGAUGACGGUACCUGAAGAAUAAGCACCGGCUAACUACGUGCCAGCAGCCGCGGUAAUACGUAGGGUGCAAAGCGUUAAUCGGAAUUACUGGGCGUAAAGCGUGCGCAGGCGGUUUUGUAAGACAGAGGUGAAAUCCCCGGGCUCAACCUGGGAACUGCCUUUGUGACUGCAAGGCUUGAGUGCGGCAGAGGGGGAUGGAAUUCCGCGUGUAGCAGUGAAAUGCGUAGAUAUGCGGAGGAACACCGAUGGCGAAGGCAAUCCCCUGGGCCUGCACUGACGCUCAUGCACGAAAGCGUGGGGAGCAAACAGGAUUAGAUAGCCCUGGUAGUCCACGCCCUAAAACGAUGUCAGCUGGUUGUUGGGAAGGUUCCUUCUCAGUAACGUAGCUAACGCGUGAAGUUGACCGCCUGGGGAGUACGGCCGCAA